Molecule: ribosomal RNA, 478 nt
Filed under: uncultured bacterium
Lineage: Bacteria
Description: partial 16S ribosomal RNA
Rfam family: Bacterial small subunit ribosomal RNA
Source: RNAcentral
GACGAACGCUGGCGGCGUGCUUAACACAUGCAAGUCGAACGGUAAGGCCCUUCGGGGUACACGAGUGGCGAACGGGUGAGUAACACGUGGGUGAUCUGCCCUGCACUUCGGGAUAAGCCUGGGAAACUGGGUCUAAUACCGGAUAGGACCACUGCCUGCAUGGGGGGUGGUGGAAAGCUUUUGCGGUGUGGGAUGGGCCCGCGGCCUAUCAGCCUGUUGGUGGGGUGGUGGCCUAGCAAGGCGACGGCGGGUAGCCGGCCUGAGAGGGUGACCGGCCACACUGGGACUGAGAUACGGCCCAGACUCCUACGGGAGGCAGAGGUGGGGAAUAUUGCACAAGGGGCGCAAGCCUGAUGCAGCGACGCCGCGUGAGGGAUGACGGCCUUCGGGUUGUAAACCUCUUUCAGCACCGACGAAGCGCAAGUGACGGUAGGUGCAGAAGAAGGACCGGCCAACUACGUGCCAGCAGCCGCGGUAA